GGCGGUCAUGGCGGAAGGGAAACGCCCGGUUACAUUCCGAACCCGGAAGCUAAGCCUUCCAGCGCCGAUGGUACUGCACUC
Molecule: ribosomal RNA, 81 nt
Filed under: Micromonospora yangpuensis
Lineage: Bacteria; Bacillati; Actinomycetota; Actinomycetes; Micromonosporales; Micromonosporaceae
Source: RNAcentral